Molecule: ribosomal RNA, 465 nt
Filed under: uncultured bacterium
Lineage: Bacteria
Description: partial 16S ribosomal RNA
Rfam family: Bacterial small subunit ribosomal RNA
Source: RNAcentral
GACGAACGCUGGCGGCGUGCUUAACACAUGCAAGUCGAACGGAAAGGCCCCCUUGUGGGGUACUCGAGUGGCGAACGGGUGAGUAACACGUGAGUAACCUACCCUUGACUUUGGGAUAACUUCAGGAAACUGGGGCUAAUACCGGAUAGGAGCUCCUGCUGCAUGGUGGGGGUUGGAAAGUUUCGGCGGUUGGGGAUGGACUCGCGGCUUAUCAGCUUGUUGGUGGGGUAGUGGCUCACCAAGGCUUUGACGGGUAGCCGGCCUGAGAGGGUGACCGGCCACAUUGGGACUGAGAUACGGCCCAGGCUCCUACGGGAGGCAGCAGUGGGGAAUAUUGCACAAUGGGCGGAAGCCUGAUGCAGCAACGCCGCGUGCGGGAUGACGGCCUUCGGGUUGUAAACCGCUUUCGCCUGUGACGAAGCGUGAGUGACGGUAAUGGGUAAAGAAGCACCGGCUAACUACGUG